RNAcentral lists this ribosomal RNA (905 nucleotides) under Cortinarius sp. MEL 2363159. Its description in RNAcentral is "LSU rRNA". It matches the Rfam family "Eukaryotic large subunit ribosomal RNA", at positions 54 to 947 of the family's 3401-position model. The record is from RNAcentral. Lineage: Eukaryota; Fungi; Basidiomycota; Agaricomycetes; Agaricales; Cortinariaceae.
AGGAAAAGAAACUAACAAGGAUUCCCCUAGUAACUGCGAGUGAAGCGGGAAAAGCUCAAAUUUAAAAUCUGGCAGUCUUUGGCUGUCCGAGUUGUAAACUAGAGAAGUGUUAUCCGCGCUGGACCGUGUACAAGUCUCCUGGAACGGAGCGUCAUAGAGGGUGAGAAUCCCGUCUUUGACACGGACUACCAGGGCUUUGUGAUGCGCUCUCAAAGAGUCGAGUUGUUUGGGAAUGCAGCUCAAAAUGGGUGGUAAAUUCCAUCUAAAGCUAAAUAUUGGCGAGAGACCGAUAGCGAACAAGUACCGUGAGGGAAAGAUGAAAAGAACUUUGGAAAGAGAGUUAAACAGUACGUGAAAUUGCUGAAAGGGAAACGCUUGAAGUCAGUCGCGUUGUCCAGGGAUCAACCUUGCUUUUGCUUGGUGUACUUUCUGGUUGACGGGUCAGCAUCAAUUUUGACUAUUGGAAAAAGAUUAGGGGAAUGUGACAUCUUCGGAUGUGUUAUAGCCCUUGGUUGCAUACAAUGGUUGGGAUUGAGGAACUCAGCACGCCGCAAGGCCGGGUUUUUACCACGUACGUGCUUAGGAUGCUGGCAUAAUGGCUUUAAUCGACCCGUCUUGAAACACGGACCAAGGAGUCUAACAUGCCUGCGAGUGUUUGGGUGGAAAACCCGAGCGCGUAAUGAAAGUGAAAGUUGAGAUCCCUGUCGUGGGGAGCAUCGACGCCCGGACCAGACCUUUUGUGACGGUUCCGCGGUAGAGCAUGUAUGUUGGGACCCGAAAGAUGGUGAACUAUGCCUGAAUAGGGUGAAGCCAGAGGAAACUCUGGUGGAGGCUCGUAGCGAUUCUGACGUGCAAAUCGAUCGUCAAAUUUGGGUAUAGGGGCGAAAGACUAAUCGAACAUCUAG